AAAGAUAAAAAUAAUAAAAAAAAUUAUUUAUUUAGUCCCUAUACAUUAAUACUAUGAAAAAUGAUAUGUCUCAAGCAUGAAAAAUUAACUAAAAGUCACGAAAAUUUUUCAUUAAGUUGGAAUCUUUAGACAAAAGGAUCAGAAUUUGCACUACAUAUGACUCGAUAAUGCUUAAAUGCCAAGAUUUGGCUCAAUGCUUUGAAAGCCAACAAUAUGACAGAACAUGAAGUGACAAUAUCCGAACCCUUCUAUCUAACACAAAUCACUACUUCAAUCAUAUUCCAAAUUUCUAGACCUGUAGGCGGUAAGUAUGAAAUUUUGAUAUAUUUAAGUUUUAAAGAUAUUUUUACUAUGGUUAUUUAACAUUCAAUUCGAUCUUAUCAAAUCUGGUUGUCUUUUUUCGACAAGAUACUUAUGAAAGGUCGGAGAAACUAGAGAUGGCAAUUCUAGACUUCCAAACUAGUUUAGAAGUCCCGAAGACGAAAAGUCUGAAAUACGAUCUGGGCAACGUUCUAACAUUAAAGUCAACUACCAGUGAUCAAAACAACAAAUCUCAUAAAAAUAAUAAAUAAAUAAUAUUUACAUAAUAGAUUUAACAUAAU
This 602-nucleotide long non-coding RNA is filed under the name Citrus x clementina. RNAcentral's name for it is "Citrus clementina (C. clementina) long non-coding RNA (CCLE_LNC001840)". Lineage: Eukaryota; Viridiplantae; Streptophyta; Magnoliopsida; Sapindales; Rutaceae. The record is from RNAcentral.